Molecule: ribosomal RNA, 467 nt
Filed under: uncultured bacterium
Lineage: Bacteria
Description: partial 16S ribosomal RNA
Rfam family: Bacterial small subunit ribosomal RNA
Source: RNAcentral
ACGAACGCUGGCGGCGUGCUUAACACAUGCAAGUCGAACGGAAAGGCCCUGCUUUUGUGGGGUGCUCGAGUGGCGAACGGGUGAGUAACACGUGAGUAACCUGCCCUUGACUUUGGGAUAACUUCAGGAAACUGGGGCUAAUACCGGAUAGGAGCUCCUGCUGCAUGGUGGGGGCUGGAAAGUUUCGGCGGUUGGGGAUGGACUCGCGGCUUAUCAGCUUGUUGGUGGGGUAGUGGCUUACCAAGGCUUUGACGGGUAGCCGGCCUGAGAGGGUGACCGGCCACAUUGGGACUGAGAUACGGCCCAGACUCCUACGGGAGGCAGCAGUGGGGAAUAUUGCACAAUGGGCGGAAGCCUGAUGCAGCAACGCCGCGUGCGGGAUGACGGCCUUCGGGUUGUAAACCGCUUUCGCCUGUGACGAAGCGUGAGUGACGGUAAUGGGUAAAGAAGCACCGGCUAACUACGUG